CUCCAAACCGACAACAGGCUUGAGUUCGAUAGUGCUGCCGUCCGCUCUCUACUUAGUCGCCACGACACUCAUCUCCGGCUCUCGUGUCCUUACACAAGCCAGCAGAACGGGAAGGCCGAGCGCAUCCUCCGGACACUCAAUGACAGUGUGCGUGCUCUCCUCUUUCAUGCAUCCAUGCCGGCACGUUUCUGGGUCGAAGCCCUCAACACAGCCACCUAUCUCCUCAAUCGCCGGCCGUGUCAUGCUAGCGCACCACGCACGCCCCAUGAGCUUCUCCUAGGUGUCGCUCCUGACUACUCCCUCCUACGCGUCUUCGGGUGCUUGUGCUAUCCAAACCUCGCUGCCACGGCCAAACACAAGCUUGCUCCUCGCUCCGUCGCGUGUAUCUUCCUUGUCUACCCUUCUGACCACCGCGGCUAUAGGUGUUUCGACCCCACGACGCGUCGCGUGCUCACAUCUCGCCAUGUCCGCUUCCACGAGUCGAUCUUCCCCUUC
This 495-nucleotide ribosomal RNA is filed under the name Triticum aestivum (bread wheat). RNAcentral describes it as "partial small subunit ribosomal RNA". Lineage: Eukaryota; Viridiplantae; Streptophyta; Magnoliopsida; Poales; Poaceae. The record is from RNAcentral.